GAGCGUAGCUUCCUUGUCGUGUGGCCUCAGUCCUUCGCCGUCCCUCGCCGUCCUUCGCCAUCGCACGCCACCGCACCCCAUCUCUCGAAAUCUGCAGACAUCUUGAUUUUUCCCACGCUGUCUGUCAGGUCUCCGCCGCCACUCGACGCCAGGGCGCCGGGUGAGUCCACAGCAGGGCGCAUGGUCGGCUCCACUCUCACCAUCGGGGGAAACUGAGGCCCCGGGGAAGGCGGCCAGAGAGGUCAGGCCCUGUCCUUGGUGCAGUGUCUCGUCCUCUUUGCCGGAGUGAGCCCCCCAGGAUUCGCGUGUCCUCGGGAAAGACACUGGCAGGAGUGUCACAUGACUGCCGCCCCAUGUGUGUGAGAGGCGUCCUCUGGGAGAGCAUGGAUCCUGAGGUCCCAGGAUUGUCAGCUGACCUCUGUCCUGUGUGCCCAGUGGCCCCAGGUGACGUGUCUUCAAGAAGAGGCUGAGCUGCGGUGCUUGUAAGGUCUCAGCCUUAGAUCCAAGGACAGUCCAAGGAAGUCCUAAGACCAUGGAGUUGGUGAUCUGGGAUCUGGGUUUGCUGAUAUUUCUCACCGUGAAUCUCUUGGUGGUGUUUGUGGGCACGAGAGGGGCAGAGAAUGGAGAGUGAGGCUACCACAUGAAGCGUCACCAGAGCUGCUCCCUGCUGCCUGCUCAGAGCACCCCGGAUCCACUGUUCAAUCUGCACAAGAUUCGGGGUCCAGACAUGGGAGACUUCAGCUGCCUCAGAGGACCGUGGACAGGGAAGGCCAGCCUCGCAUCCCUCUGUCCAUGCCUGGAAUGACUUUAAUAACCAAGAGUUUUAUUUUUGAAUUUGUAGCUGUCGUUCACUUUUUACCCACCCAUUCAAUAAACCUUACAGAAUUGCUCCA
RNAcentral lists this long non-coding RNA (893 nucleotides) under Homo sapiens (human). RNAcentral describes it as "HSALNT0400896". The record is from RNAcentral. Lineage: Eukaryota; Metazoa; Chordata; Mammalia; Primates; Hominidae.